RNAcentral lists this ribosomal RNA (274 nucleotides) under uncultured bacterium. Its description in RNAcentral is "partial 16S ribosomal RNA". It matches the Rfam family "Bacterial small subunit ribosomal RNA", at positions 216 to 507 of the family's 1533-position model. The record is from RNAcentral.
CGCUUGAAGAGCAGCCUGCGGCAGAUUAGCUAGUUGGUAAGGUAAUGGCUUACCAAGGCUACGAUCUGUAACCGACCUGAGAGGGUGGUCGGUCACACUGACACUGAAUAACGGGUCAGACUCCUACGGGAGGCAGCAGUCGGGAAUUUUGGGCAAUGGGCGAAAGCCUGACCCAGCAACGCCGCGUGAAGGAUGAAGUAUUUCGGUAUGUAAACUUCGUAAGAAUAGGAAGAAUAAAUGACGGUACUAUUUGUAAGGUCCGGCUAACUACGUG